UGGAGGGGUUCCAAGGGGGGACAGGGAAUCCUGAGUGGGUUUGAGGUUUCGAGAGCCUUCAGGGGGAAGCCCAGGAGGAUUUAGGGGGUCUCAGGGAGUUUCAGAGGGCCCCGGGAGGUCCCUGGGGAAGGUUUGGGGGUCCUGAGGAGCUUCAGGAGAUCUCGGGGGGGGGGGGGGGGGGGGGGGGGCUGUGGGUCCCACAGGAGUUCAGGGGACCCCCAGGGAGGGUUUAGGGGUCCUGGGGAGGUUUGGAGGGUCCCAGGGGAGGUUUUGGGGGUGCCAAGGAGGUUCAGGGGUCCCUGGGGAGGUUCAGGGGUCCCUUGAGGAUCCCGGAGGGGGUUCAAUGAUCCCUGGAGAGGGUUUGGGGGUCCCGGGCCUUUCAGGGCUCCCGGGAGGGUGUCCCACUCACCGGGACGCCGGGGUCUCCUCUGAGCUGUGCCCUCCCUGGGCUCCUGGCGUGGCUGUGCCGUGGGGCAGUGCCGGGACCCACCUGCGCCCGCUCGGCCGCCAGCAGCGCCCAGAGGCACCGGUUGUGCUCCCGCAGCCGCUCGGCCUCGUCCCGCGCCGCCGCCAUGGCCCGGGCGCAGGCGGCCACGCGACCCUGCGGCCCCCCCGGCACCGUUGGGGACACCCCCGGGGAGGGGGACACCCCCCCCCCCGGGGAUAGAGGACCCCCUGACGGGAACAGGGAUCCCCUAAAUGACAUGGGACCCCCCCCUCCCAGGUGAUGUGGGAGGCCAUUGAGAGACACAGGGACCCCCCCCCCCGAGGGACAUGGGGCUCCUUCGGGGAUGUGAGGACCCCCCCAAGGGGCACGGCCCCCUCCAGGAACACAGGGACCCUUGGGGGACACGGAAACCCCUCCAGGGAGAUGGGGGGACCCUAGAUGACAUAGUAACCCCUUGAGGGACACAGGGACACCCCCAGGGGACAUCAGCCCCCCCCAGGGACACCCCCCCAUGUGUCAUGGGGACAUUCUGAGGGAUGUGGCCCCCCCCCCUCCCGAUAACACAGGGACCCUCCCAGGUGACAUGGGAUCCCCUCCAAGGAUACGGGGACCCCUCUGGGGACACAGGGACCCCCCCCAGGGACAACCCCCCCCCCCCCGCUGACCUGGAGGGGCCCGAGGCGCUGGCGCAGCCCCCGCAGCUCCUGCUCCCGCCGGGCCCCCCCCGCCACCGCCUCCCGGUAGAGGCGCAGGAGCCCCCCCAGCGCCUGCGGGCCCCCCCCGGGGGGCAGCCCCAGCGCUGCCAGCUCCUGGGGGGGGGGGAACACGUUUAGACCCCCAUCUUAUCCCCCCCCCCUCCCCGAAGGACCCCCCAGGGGCCCUCAUCUCCAUCUCCUCCCCCCUCCCCGGGGACCUCACCCCCCC
This 1372-nucleotide long non-coding RNA is filed under the name Accipiter nisus (Eurasian sparrowhawk). RNAcentral describes it as "lncRNA (ENSANIG00000011631.1)". Lineage: Eukaryota; Metazoa; Chordata; Aves; Accipitriformes; Accipitridae. The record is from RNAcentral.